UACGUAGGGUGCGAGCGUUGUCCGGAAUUAUUGGGCGUAAAGGGCUCGUAGGCGGUUUGUCGCGUCGGGAGUGAAAACACCGGGCUUAACUCGGUGCUUGCUUUCGAUACGGGCAGACUAGAGGUAUGCAGGGGAGAACGGAAUUCCCGGUGUAGCGGUGAAAUGCGCAGAUAUCGGGAAGAACACCCGUGGCGAAGGCGGCUCUCUGGAACGCAACUGACGCUGAGACGCGAAAGCGUGGGGAGCAAACAGG
RNAcentral lists this ribosomal RNA (253 nucleotides) under uncultured bacterium. RNAcentral's name for it is "partial 16S ribosomal RNA". It matches the Rfam family "Bacterial small subunit ribosomal RNA", at positions 524 to 776 of the family's 1533-position model. The record is from RNAcentral.